GGUUAAGCGACUAAGCGUACACGGUGGAUGCCCUGGCAGUCAGAGGCGAUGAAGGACGUGCUAAUCUGCGAUAAGCGUCGGUAAGGUGAUAUGAACCGUUAUAACCGGCGAUUUCCGAAUGGGGAAACCCAGUGUGUUUCGACACACUAUCAUUAACUGAAUCCAUAGGUUAAUGAGGCGAACCGGGGGAACUGAAACAUCUAAGUACCCCGAGGAAAAGAAAUCAACCGAGAUUCCCCCAGUAGCGGCGAGCGAACGGGGAGGAGCCCAGAGCCUGAAUCAGUGUGUGUGUUAGUGGAAGCGUCUGGAAAGGUGCGCGAUACAGGGUGACAGCCCCGUACACAAAAAUGCACAUGCUGUGAGCUCGAUGAGUAGGGCGGGACACGUGGUAUCCUGUCUGAAUAUGGGGGGACCAUCCUCCAAGGCUAAAUACUCCUGACUGACCGAUAGUGAACCAGUACCGUGAGGGAAAGGCGAAAAGAACCCCGGCGAGGGGAGUGAAAAAGAACCUGAAACCGUGUACGUACAAGCAGUGGGAGCAUGCUUAGGCGUGUGACUGCGUACCUUUUGUAUAAUGGGUCAGCGACUUAUAUUCUGUAGCAAGGUUAACCGAAUAGGGGAGCCGAAGGGAAACCGAGUCUUAACUGGGCGUUAAGUUGCAGGGUAUAGACCCGAAACCCGGUGAUCUAGCCAUGGGCAGGUUGAAGGUUGGGUAACACUAACUGGAGGACCGAACCGACUAAUGUUGAAAAAUUAGCGGAUGACUUGUGGCUGGGGGUGAAAGGCCAAUCAAACCGGGAGAUAGCUGGUUCUCCCCGAAAGCUAUUUAGGUAGCGCCUCGUGAACUCAUCUCCGGGGGUAGAGCACUGUUUCGGCAAGGGGGUCAUCCCGACUUACCAACCCGAUGCAAACUGCGAAUACCGGAGAAUGUUAUCACGGGAGACACACGGCGGGUGCUAACGUCCGUCGUGAAGAGGGAAACAACCCAGACCGCCAGCUAAGGUCCCAAAGUCAUGGUUAAGUGGGAAACGAUGUGGGAAGGCCCAGACAGCCAGGAUGUUGGCUUAGAAGCAGCCAUCAUUUAAAGAAAGCGUAAUAGCUCACUGGUCGAGUCGGCCUGCGCGGAAGAUGUAACGGGGCUAAACCAUGCACCGAAGCUGCGGCAGCGACGCUUAUG
Molecule: ribosomal RNA, 1177 nt
Filed under: Escherichia coli
Lineage: Bacteria; Pseudomonadati; Pseudomonadota; Gammaproteobacteria; Enterobacterales; Enterobacteriaceae
Description: partial 23S ribosomal RNA
Rfam family: Bacterial large subunit ribosomal RNA
Source: RNAcentral